GCCCCGGUAAACGGCGGCCGUAACUAUAACGGUCCUAAGGUAGCGAAAUUCCUUGUCGGGUAAGUUCCGACCUGCACGAAUGGCGUAAUGAUGGCCAGGCUGUCUCCACCCGAGACUCAGUGAAAUUGAACUCGCUGUGAAGAUGCAGUGUACCCGCGGCAAGACGGAAAGACCCCGUGAACCUUUACUAUAGCUUGACACUGAACAUUGAGCCUUGAUGUGUAGGAUAGGUGGGAGGCUUUGAAGUGUGGACGCCAGUCUGCAUGGAGCCGACCUUGAAAUACCACCCUUUAAUGUUUGAUGUUCUAACGUUGGCCCGUAAUCCGGGUUGCGGACAGUGUCUGGUGGGUAGUUUGACUGGGGCGGUCUCCUCCUAAAGAGUAACGGAGGAGCACGAAGGUUGGCUAAUCCUGGUCGGACAUCAGGAGGUUAGUGCAAUGGCAUAAGCCAGCUUGACUGCGAGCGUGACGGCGCGAGCAGGUGCGAAAGCAGGUCAUAGUGAUCCGGUGGUUCUGAAUGGAAGGGCCAUCGCUCAACGGAUAAAAGGUACUCCGGGGAUAACAGGCUGAUACCGCCCAAGAGUUCAUAUCGACGGCGGUGUUUGGCACCUCGAUGUCGGCUCAUCACAUCCUGGGGCUGAAGUAGGUCCCAAGGGUAUGGCUGUUCGCCAUUUAAAGUGGUACGCGAGCUGGGUUUAGAACGUCGUGAGACAGUUCGGUCCCUAUCUGCCGUGGGCGCUGGAGAACUGAGGGGGGCUGCUCCUAGUACGAGAGGACCGGAGUGGACGCAUCACUGGUGUUCGGGUUGUCAUGCCAAUGGCACUGCCCGGUAGCUAAAUGCGGAAGAGAUAAGUGCUGAAAGCAUCUAAGCACGAAACUUGCCCCGAGAUGAGUUCUCCCUGACUCCUUGAGAGUCCUGAAGGAACGUUGAAGACGACGACGUUGAUAGGCCGGGUGUGUAAGCGCA
This 966-nucleotide ribosomal RNA is filed under the name Escherichia coli. RNAcentral describes it as "partial 23S ribosomal RNA". It matches the Rfam family "Bacterial large subunit ribosomal RNA", at positions 1917 to 2877 of the family's 2925-position model. Lineage: Bacteria; Pseudomonadati; Pseudomonadota; Gammaproteobacteria; Enterobacterales; Enterobacteriaceae. The record is from RNAcentral.